AUACGUAGGUGACAAGCGUUAUCCGGAUUUACUGGGUGUAAAGGGCGUGUAGGCGGUUUAGCAAGUCUGAAGUGAAAUUCCCGGGCUUAACUUGGGCGCUGCUUCUGAAACUGCUUUACUUGAGUGCUGGAGAGGAUAGAGGAAUUCUUAGUGUCGCGGUGAACUGCGCAGAUAUUAGGAGGAACACCGGUGGCGAAGGCGGCUAUCUGGACAGUAACUGACGCUGAGGCGCGAAAGCACGGGGAGCAAACAGGAUUAGAUACCCUGGUAGUCCGUGCCGUAAACGAUGAAUACUAGGUGUAGGGGGUAUCGACUCCCUCUGUGCCGCAGUUAACACAUUAAGUAUUCCGCCUGGGGAGUACGGCCGCAAGGUUGAAACUCAAAGGAAUUGGCGGGG
RNAcentral lists this ribosomal RNA (397 nucleotides) under uncultured bacterium. RNAcentral's name for it is "partial 16S ribosomal RNA". It matches the Rfam family "Bacterial small subunit ribosomal RNA", at positions 523 to 918 of the family's 1533-position model. The record is from RNAcentral.